This 253-nucleotide ribosomal RNA is filed under the name uncultured bacterium. RNAcentral describes it as "partial 16S ribosomal RNA". It matches the Rfam family "Bacterial small subunit ribosomal RNA", at positions 524 to 776 of the family's 1533-position model. The record is from RNAcentral.
UACGUAGGGUGCAAGCGUUGUCCGGAAUUAUUGGGCGUAAAGAGCUCGUAGGCGGUUUGUCGCGUCUGCUGUGAAAACUCGGGGCUUAACCCCGGGCCUGCAGUGGGUACGGGCAGACUAGAGUGCGGUAGGGGAGACUGGAAUUCCUGGUGUAGCGGUGAAAUGCGCAGAUAUCAGGAGGAACACCGGCGGCGAAGGCGGGUCUCUGGGCCGAAACUGACGCUGAGGAGCGAAAGCGUGGGGAGCAAACGGG